CAAGGGGUGAUCCUUGGGAGAGAAGAAGCAACAGCGAAGUCGUGGCCUGACGAAUAGAAACCUAAUACAAAGGCGUAUCAAGCGGACAAGCUGGCAAAAGGACAGUGAAGUCCCAAAAGGCAACCGUAACCUUGAUGCGCAAUUUAGGCAGGUAAGCGAUGAAAGAUGUAUGA
Non-coding RNA from Bacteroidales bacterium KA00251, 173 nucleotides. The record is from Rfam. Lineage: Bacteria; Pseudomonadati; Bacteroidota; Bacteroidia; Bacteroidales.